RNAcentral lists this ribosomal RNA (253 nucleotides) under uncultured bacterium. Its description in RNAcentral is "partial 16S ribosomal RNA". It matches the Rfam family "Bacterial small subunit ribosomal RNA", at positions 524 to 776 of the family's 1533-position model. The record is from RNAcentral.
UACGUAGGGGGCGAGCGUUGUCCGGAAUUAUUGGGCGUAAAGAGCGUGUAGGCGGUUCGGUAAGUCUGCCGUGAAAACCUGAGGCUCAACCUCGGGCGUGCGGUGGAUACUGCCGGGCUAGAGGACGGUAGAGGCGAGUGGAAUUCCCGGUGUAGCGGUGAAAUGCGCAGAUAUCGGGAGGAACACCGGUGGCGAAGGCGGCUUUCUGGGUCUUACCUGACGCUGAGGAACGAAAGCUAGGGGAGCGAACGGG